GAUGAACGCUGGCGGCGUGCCUAAUACAUGCAAGCCGAGCGAACAGACGAGGAGCUUGCUCCUCUGACGUUAGCGGCGGACGGGUGAGUAACACGUGGAUAACCUACCUAUAAGACUGGGAUAACUGCGGGAAACCGGAGCUAAUACCGGAUAAUAUAUUGAACCGCAUGGUUCAAUAGUGAAAGACGGUUUUGCUGUCACUUAUAGAUGGAUCCGCGCCGCAUUAGCUAGUUGGUAAGGUAACGGCUUACCAAGGCAACGAUGCGUAGCCGACCUGAGAGGGUGAUCGGCCACACUGGAACUGAGACACGGUCCAGACUCCUACGGGAGGCAGCAGUAGGGAAUCUUCCGCAAUGGGCGAAAGCUUGACGGAGCAACGCCGCGUGAGUGAUGAAGGUCUUCGGAUCGUAAAACUCUGUUAUUAGGGAAGAACAAAUGUGUAAGUAACUAUGCACGUCUUGACGGUACCUAAUCAGAAAGCCACGGCUAACUACGUG
RNAcentral lists this ribosomal RNA (497 nucleotides) under uncultured bacterium. RNAcentral describes it as "partial 16S ribosomal RNA". It matches the Rfam family "Bacterial small subunit ribosomal RNA", at positions 28 to 507 of the family's 1533-position model. The record is from RNAcentral.